GCUCCCUGCCCGCCGCCCGCGGUCCUCGGUCGGUUCUUUGGUUAGUCCCCUGUCUCGUCUUUAGCUUACCGGUCUUCAUCUCCGAGCUUGCGACUCGCGAACCAGGGGUCUUCGGCGAGGAGAGGCCAGACUCAAAGUCGUCGCUUGAGCAAUGGCAGCUAUCCGGAAGAAACUGGUGAUUGUUGGUGAUGGAGCCUGUGGCAAGGCAUGCUUGCUCAUAGUCUUCAGCAAGGACCAGUUCCCAGAGGUAUAUGUGCCUACAGUGUUUAAAAACUAUGUGGCAGAUACGAAGUGGAUGGAAAACAGGUAGAGUUGGCCUUGUGGGACACAACUGGGCAGGAAGAUUAUGAUCGUCUGAGGCCGCUCUCCGAACCAGAUACCGAUGUUAUAUUGAUGUGUUUCUCCAUCGACAGCCCUGAUAGUUUAGAAAACAUCCCAGAAAAAUGGACUCCCGAAGUCAAGCAUUUCUGUCCCAACAUACCCAUUAUCCUGGUUGGAAACAAGAAGGAUCUUCGGAAUGAUGAGCACGCAAGGUGGGAGCUAGCCAAGAUGAAGCAGGAACCGGUAAAACCUGAAGAAGGCAGAGAGAUAUGGCAAACAGGAUUGGUGCUUUUGGGUACAUGAAGUGUUCAGCAAAGACCGAAGAUGGAGUGAGGGAAAUUUUUGAAGUGGCUACGAGAGCUGCUCUGCAAGCCAGGCGUGGGAAGAAAAAAUCUGGGUGCCUUGUCUUGUGAAACCUUGCUGCAAGCACAGUCCUUAUGUAGUUAAUUUUGAAGUGCUGUUUAUUAAUCUUAGUGUAUGAUUACUGGCCUUUUUCAUUUAUCUAUAAUUUACCUAAGAUUACAAAUCAGAAGUCUUUUUGCUACCAGUAUUUAGAAGCCAACCAUGAUUAUUAAUGAUGUCCAACCCGUCUGGCCCACCAGGGUCCUUCUGACAUUGCUCUAACAGCCCUCUCUGCACUCCCACCUGACACAUCAGGUGCUAAUUCAAGGAAUUUUUUAACUUCUUGUUUCUUUCUAGAAAGAGAAACAAUUGGUAACUUUUGUGAAUUAGGCUGUAACUACUUUAUAACAUAACAUGUCCUGCCUAUCAUCUGUCAGCUGCAAGGUACUCUGGUGAGUCACCACUUCAGAGCUUUACUCCUUAACAGAUUUAAUUGGCAUAGCUCUGAGGUGGUUAUCCAGUUUUUUGAAAAUGUGCUCAUCCAGAAAAGCCCAAGUCCGUGCAGCUGUGGCAGAGUUACAGUUCUGUGGUUUCGUGUUAGUUACCUUAUAGUUACUGUGUAAUUAGCGCCACUUCAUGUAUGUUACCAAAAAUAAAUAUAUCUACCCCAAACUAGAUGUAGUAUUUUUUGUAUAGUUGGAUUUCCUAAUACCGAUAUUUGUCAUCUCUAAAGAAAGUGUAUUGGUUUUUUUAAAAAAGAAAGUGUAUUUGGAAAUAAAGGCAGAUGGAAAAUUCA
Carlito syrichta (Philippine tarsier) is the source of this 1459-nucleotide RNA transcript. It is a transcript of the gene named transforming protein RhoA pseudogene, with no coding region annotated. NCBI's taxonomy places the organism in Eukaryota, Metazoa, Chordata, Mammalia, Primates, Tarsiidae. The transcript is spliced from 2 exons. The record is from RefSeq and is a predicted model, not a curated record.